Molecule: ribosomal RNA, 247 nt
Filed under: uncultured bacterium
Lineage: Bacteria
Description: partial 16S ribosomal RNA
Rfam family: Bacterial small subunit ribosomal RNA
Source: RNAcentral
AUACGGGGGGUGCAAGCGUUAUUCGGAUUUAUUGGGCGUAAAGGGCGCGUAGGCGGUCUUGUAAGUCAGAUGUGAAAGCCCGGGGCUCAACCCCGGAAGUGCAUUUGAUACUGCUUGACUUGAGUAUGGGAGAGGGAAGUGGAAUUCCUGGUGUAGAGGUGAAAUUCGUAGAUAUCAGGAGGAACACCGGUGGCGAAGGCGGCUUCCUGGACCAAUACUGACGCUGAGGCGCGAAGGCGUGGGGAGC